GAUUUUUCAAUGGCCGCGGUAAUUUGACCGUGCAAAGGUAGCAUAAUCACUUGUCUCUUAAAUGGAGGCUAGAAUGAAUGGUUGGACGAAAUAUAUACUUUCUUUGUAGUAUUAAUUUGAAUUUGAUUUUUGAGUUAAAAAGCUUAAAUUUUUUUAUGGGACGAGAAGACCCUGUAAAAUUUUAUACUGAAUCAUUUUAAUUGUUUUUGGUUUAUUAUUGACUUUUUUUAUUGUUUUAGUAUUUUGUUGGGGCGACAGGAAGAUUUUUUUAACUCUUCUUAUUUUUUUUCAUUGAUUUAUGUUUUAUUUUGAUCCUUUAUUAAAGAUUAAAAGAUUAAAUUACCUCAGGGAUAACAGCGUAAUCCUUUUGGAGAGUUCUUAUCAAUAAAAGGGUUUGCGACCUCGAU
RNAcentral lists this ribosomal RNA (407 nucleotides) under Lethocerus indicus. RNAcentral's name for it is "partial large subunit ribosomal RNA". It matches the Rfam family "Archaeal large subunit ribosomal RNA", at positions 1995 to 2599 of the family's 2987-position model. The record is from RNAcentral. Lineage: Eukaryota; Metazoa; Arthropoda; Insecta; Hemiptera; Belostomatidae.